Molecule: long non-coding RNA, 5048 nt
Filed under: Oncorhynchus mykiss (rainbow trout)
Lineage: Eukaryota; Metazoa; Chordata; Actinopteri; Salmoniformes; Salmonidae
Description: lncRNA (ENSOMYG00000049800.1)
Source: RNAcentral
AUGUAUUAUUUAUUUUUACACACAGCUCCUCCCACUCCUAAACCGUCAACUGUCACCUCCAGACCACAUGUCUCUACAACCCUCCCAAGUUUCUCCACAACAUCCUCUAACCUCUCCACAACAUCCUCUAACCUCUCCUCAACCUUAUCAAACCUCUCUACAACAUCCUCUAACCUCUCCACAACCCUCCCAAACCUCUCCUCAACAUUCCUGCCAUCUGGAGACAUCAGUGUUGGUCCUUCAGAGAGAGCAGGUCUGAUGGUGUGGACACCACCACCACCACCAGUCUCCUCCAACACACAACCUGACCCUACUGGAGAGGUUGACUGUGUGUAUGAGGAGAUCAGAGAGGCAGACAGACAAACAGACACACUCCCUUUGGUCAUCUCUUCCGUCUACUCUACUGUCAACUCACCUACCAACUCUACAACCCACCCUGCUGACCAAGGCACCAGUCUCCCACACUGUGACAUCUAUGCUAACACUAGCUGCCGCAAAGAUGAUAUAAGAUGCCCUCCACUCUACAGCCCAGCUACCCAGAAUAAUGGAGGACUAUAGGAUCUACAGUAUACAGUAUAUGUUGGACCCCAGGAAGAGUAGAUUCUGCGUUUGCAACAGCUACUGGGGAUCCUAAUAAAAUACCAAAAUACCAAAAAUACAAGACAUGCGUCCCAAAUGGCUCCAAAUUCCACAUAUAGCGCACUACUUUUAACUAGAACCAUAUAGUCCUCUAAUGAGAAUAGGAUGCCACUUGGGACCAUAGAGAGAUGAAGAGUUGUCACCACAGCUCCGCCAUCUUGGAAGUGACAUCACAAAGACAGCUCAUGUGAUUUGACUGUAUGUACAACAUGGACUACCCAUCUGGGUUUAAAAUCUCGAGAUUUUCUCAAAGUCAACCAACAUUUUUGUAAAUACUUGUGUAAAUAUGAACUGUGUUUUAUCUUGUCUUCAUUUAGUCUGUUAUAAUAAUGAAGACAGUAAAGCCAUAAUAGUCAGUUCUACCUUUGAGAUUUACAUAUCUAUUGUAUAUGUACAUACACUUUGGCUUUUUAAGCUUUUCAUUAACUUUAAUCAAAAUGUGUGUGUUUGUCAGUGUGUGUGUAGUCAAAUCAAAUGCUAUUGGUCACAUACACAUGGUUAGCAGAUGUUAUUGGUCACAUACAUGGUUAGCAGAUGUUAAUGCGAGUGUAGCGAAAUGCUUGUGCUUCUAGUUUCUACAGUGCAGUAAUAUCUAACAAGUAAUCUAACAAAUUCACAAUCACUACCUUAUACACACAAAUGUAAAGGGAUCCUGCUUUGAUGCACCUGUACUGACCUCGCCUUCUGGAUGAUAGCGGGUUGAACAGGCAGUGGCUCGGGUGGUUGUUGUCCUUGAUGAUCUUUUUGGCCUUCCUGUUACAUCGGAUGGUGUAGGUGUCCUGGAGGGCAGAUCAUUCCCCCCCCAGUGAUGCGUUGUGCAGACCUUACUACCCUCUGGAGAGCCUUGCAGUUGUGGGCGGUGCAGUUGCCGAUCCAGGCGGUGAUAGUAUGCUCUCGAUUGUGCAUCUGUAAAAGAUUGACGGUUUUAGAUGACAAGCCACAUUUCUUCAACCUCCUGAGGUUGUAGAGGCGCUGUUGUGCCUUCUUCACCAUGCUGUCUGUGUGGGUGGACCAUUUGAGUUUUUCCGUGAUGUGUACGCCAAGGAACUUAAAACUUUCCACCUUCUCCAAUACUGUCCCAUUGAUGUGGAUGGGGGGGAUGCUCCCUCUGCUGUUUCCUGAAGUCCACGAUCAUCUCCUUUGUUUUGUUGACGUUGAGUGUGAGGUUAUUUGCCUGACACCACACUCCGAGGGCCUUCACCUCCUCCCUGUAGGUUGUCUCGUCGUUGUAGGUAAUCAAGCCUACCAAUAUAGUGCCGUCUGCAAACUUGAUGAUUGAGUUGGAGGCUUGCAUGGCCAUGCAGUCAUGGGUGAACAGGGAGUACAGGAGAGGGCUGAGAACACACCCUUGUGGGGCCCCUUUGUUGAGAAUCAGCGUGGUGGAGAUGUUGUUACCUACCUUCACUACCUGGGGGCAGACCGUCAGAGGGUCCAGGACUCAGUUGCGCAGGGUGGGAUCGAGACCCAGGGUCUCAAGAUUAAUGUUGAGUUUGGAGGGUACUAUGGUGUUAAAUACUGAGCUGUCGUCAAUGAACAGCAUUCUUACAUAGGUAUUCCUCUUGUCCAGAUGGGAUAGGGCAGUGUGCGGUGUGAUGGUGAUUGCAUUUUCUGUGGACAUAUUGGGGCAGUAAGCAAAUUGAAGUGGGUCGUGGGUAACAGGUCGGGUGGAGGUGAUAUGAUCCUUGACUAGUCUCUCAAAGCACUAAGGGGCGAUAGUCAUUUUCCGUUGCCUUCUUGGCCACCAUUGUUCCUGUUUCCAUCAGCAUGCGGGGACAGCAGACUGGGAUAGGGAUUGAUUUAAUAUGUCCAGCCAGCUGGUCUGCGCAUGCUCUGAGGACACGGCUAGGGAUGAUGUCUGGGCCAGCAGCCUUGUGAGGGUUAACAUGUUUAAAUGUUUUAACCACGUCGGCCACGGAGAAGGAGAGCCCACAGGUUUUGGUAGCGGGCCAUGCCACUUUAAUAAUGGGAAUUGAUGGGAAAUGAUGUAAAUAUAUCACUAGCCACUUUAAACAAUGCUACCUUAUAUAAUGUUACUUACCCUACAUUAUUCAUCUCAUAGGCAUACGUAUAUACUGUACUCUAUAUCAUCGACUGUAUCCUUAUGUAAUACAUGUAUCACUAGCCACUUUAACUAUGCCACUUUGUUUACAUACUCAUCUCAUAUGUAUAUACUGUACUCGAUACAAUCUACUGUAUCUUGCCUAUGCUGCUCUGUACCAUCACUCAUUCAUAUAUCCUUAUAUUCUUUAUCCCCUCACACUGUGUACAAGACAGUAGUUUUGGAACUGUUAGUUAGAUUACUUGUUGGUUAUUACUGCAUUGUCGGAACUAGAAGCACAAGCAUUUCGCUACACUCGCAUUAACAUCUGCUAACCAUGUGUAUGUGACAAAUAAAAUUUGAUUUGAUUUGAUUUGAUGUCGGUGCCACUGAUCCGUGAUUGUCUGUAGAGCCUGCCACAUACGUCUCAUGUUUGAGCCGUUGAAAUGCGACUCCAAUUUCUCUCUAUGCUGACACUUUGCUUGUUUGAUUGCCUUGCGGAGGGAAUAACUCCACCAUUUGUAUUCGGUCAUGUUUCUAGUCGAUUCAAUGUGGUGAUUCACGCUUUCAGUUUCGAAGGAAUGCUGUCAUCAAUCCACAGUUUCUGUUUUAAGGAAGGGCUUACUAGUGAAAGUAGUGUGUUUUUGUCAGUGUGUGUGUAGUGUGUUUUUGUCAGUGUGUGUGUGUGUGUGUGUGUAGUGUGUUUUUAUCAGUGUGUGUGUGUGUGUGUGUGUAGUGUGUUUUUAUCAGUGUGUGUGUGUGUGUGUAGUGUGUUUUUGUCAGUGUGUGUGUGUGUGUUUGUGUAGUAUGUUUUUGUCAGUGUAUGUGUAGUGUGUUUUUGUCAGUGUGUGUGUGUGUAGUGUGUUUUUGUCAGUGUGUGUGUGUGUGUGUGUAGUGUGUUUUUGUCAGUGUGUGUGUGUGUAGUGUGUUUUUGUCAGUGUGUGUGUGGGUAGUGUGGUUUUGUCUGUGUGUGUGUGUGGGUAGUGUGGUUUUGUCUGUGUGUGUGUGUGUGUGUAGUGUGUGUUUGUCAGUGUGUGUGUGUAGUGUGUGCUUGUCAGUGUGAAUAGCGUGUUUUGUUACUGUGUGUAUGUAGUGUGUUUUUGUCAGUGUGUGUGUAGUGUGUUUUUGUCAGUGUGUGUGUGUGUGUAGUGUGUGUUUGUCAGUGUGUGUGUGUAGUGUGUGCUUGUCAGUGUGUGUGUGUGUGUGUGUGUGUGUGUGUGUGUGUAGUGUGUUUUUGUCAGUGUGUGUAGUGUGUGUUUGUCAGUGUGUGUGUCUAGUGUGUGUAGUUUGUUUAUCAAGUCAGGUGAGAGGUUUUUCUCGUAACAGAGAACUGUGCUGGUUUCUCUUCUCAGGACUGUUCCCUCUUGACUUUCUCACUUACUGGGAAACUGCGUGUGUGUGUGUGUGUGUGUGUGUGUGUGUGUGUGUGUGAGAGUGUGUGAGUGUGUGAGUGAGUGAGUGAGUGAGUGAGUGAGUGAGUGAGUGAGUGAGUGAGUGAGUGAGUGUGUGCUCCUCCUGACAGAGCUGGUGUAACUGAGUCAGGUUUGUAGGCCUCCUUGCUCGCACACACUUUUUCAGUUCUGCCCACAAAUAUUCUAUAGGAUUGAGGUUAGGUCUUUGUGAUGGCCACUCUAAUACCUUGACUUUGUUGUCCUUAAGCCAUUUUCCACAACUUUGGAAGUAUGCUUGGGGUCAUUGUCCAUUUGGAAGACCCAUUUGUGACCAAGCUUUAACUUCCUGACUGAUGUCUUGAGAUGUUGCUUCAUUAUAUCCACAUAAUAUUCCUGCCUCAUGAUGCCAUCUAUUCUAUUCUGUCCCUCCUGCAGCAAAGCACCCCCACAACAUGAUGCUGCCACCCCCGUGCUUCACGUUUGGGAUGGUGUUCUUCGGCUUGCAAGCCUCCCCCUUUAUCCUAAAGACUCUUUAUAUACUCCAGUGUUAGUAACCCCCCCCCAGACUCUGUUAUAUACUCCAGUGUUAGUAACCCCCCCCAGACUCUGUUAUAUACUCCAGUGUUAGUAACCCCCCCCAGACUCUGUUAUAUACUCCAGUGUUAGUAACCCCCCCCCAGACUCUGUUAUAUACUCCAGUGUUAGUAACCCCCCCCAGACUCUGUUAUAUACUCCAGUGUUAGUAACCCCCCCCAGACUCUGUUAUAUACUCCAGUGUUAGUAACCCCCCCAGACUCUGAUAUAUACUCCAGUGUUAGUAACCCCCCCCCCCCAAACUCUGUUAUAUACUCCAGUGUUAGUAACCCCCCCCCAGACUCUGUUAUAUACUCCAGUGUUAGUAACCCCCCCCAGACUCUGUUAUAUACUCCAGUGUUAGUAACCCCCCCCAGACUCUGUUAUGUACUCCAGUGUUAGUAACC